AAUCAGAAUAUGAAAUCAAUUAAAUGAAGUAAGAUAUGAACUCUUAUUUAAAUAAAAAAUGGCGCAGGUCCUGCUGUUGUGAGUGUGAGUCUCGUAACAGUAAUUGUUCUUUUUGGUAUUAUUUGUGUAAAG
This 132-nucleotide ribosomal RNA is filed under the name uncultured eukaryote. RNAcentral's name for it is "partial Trypanosomatid mitochondrial large subunit ribosomal RNA". The record is from RNAcentral.